UGCAUACAAUACGACCAUACUUAGUGUUUGGUACUUUCUUACUGGUUAAAGAGUUUCCAAUUAAGUAUGAUGUUGUGUUUGCAUAUUGUUUGGUUGUUCCAAACGAAGUAACAAAAGUUACUAUUUUAUUUCCUGUAUAUU
Molecule: small RNA, 141 nt
Filed under: Aggregatibacter actinomycetemcomitans Y4
Lineage: Bacteria; Pseudomonadati; Pseudomonadota; Gammaproteobacteria; Pasteurellales; Pasteurellaceae
Description: GcvB RNA
Rfam family: GcvB RNA (bases 33-141)
About the family: The gcvB gene encodes a small untranslated RNA involved in expression of the dipeptide and oligopeptide transport systems in Escherichia coli. Included several unknown homologues in alignment (Bateman A pers obs). It base-pairs with SorC.
Source: RNAcentral